RNAcentral lists this ribosomal RNA (296 nucleotides) under Rhizophagus fasciculatus. The record is from RNAcentral. Lineage: Eukaryota; Fungi; Glomeromycota; Glomeromycetes; Glomerales; Glomeraceae.
CAGUCGUACCGGCGGAUAAUCAGCCUUUCGGGUGCGAUUCUGUGGGGCGUGGGGAGCUUAACCGCCUUCAUGUUUUGCAUAUUCGUGCACAUUUGGUGUACUUGUCCGUGUGGUGGGUUAACAUCAAUUUCGGUCGUCAUAAAAUGAUUGGAGGAAUGUAGCUUUGGUCUCGUAUCGAAGUGUUAUAGACUCUGGUAGAUGUGACGAUUGGGGAUUGAGGGAUUGCAACGGAUACCCUUCGGGGCUACUCGUCUGAUCUCUGAAGGUUGCUCCGGUACCGAAGCGUGCUUACGUCA